This 253-nucleotide ribosomal RNA is filed under the name uncultured bacterium. Its description in RNAcentral is "partial 16S ribosomal RNA". It matches the Rfam family "Bacterial small subunit ribosomal RNA", at positions 524 to 776 of the family's 1533-position model. The record is from RNAcentral.
UACGAAGGGGGCUAGCGUUGCUCGGAAUCACUGGGCGUAAAGCGCACGUAGGCGGCUUUUUAAGUCAGAGGUGAAAUCCUGGAGCUCAACUCCAGAACUGCCUUUGAUACUGAGAAGCUUGAGUCCGGGAGAGGUGAGUGGAACUGCGAGUGUAGAGGUGAAAUUCGUAGAUAUUCGCAAGAACACCAGUGGCGAAGGCGGCUCACUGGCCCGGUACUGACGCUGAGGUGCGAAAGCUAGGGUAGCAAACGGG